UUGCAAACUGGAGAUGGCGACCGGCGCACGGGUGAGUAACACGUAUCCAACCUGCCGAUAACUCGGGGAUAGCCUUUCGAAAGAAAGAUUAAUACCCGAUGGCAUAAUAGAACCGCAUGGUUUGAUUAUUAAAGAAUUUCGGUUAUCGAUGGGGAUGCGUUCCAUUAGGCAGUUGGUGGGGUAACGGCCCACCAAACCUUCGAUGGAUAGGGGUUCUGAGAGGAAGGUCCCCCCACAUUGGAACUGAGACACGGUCCAAACUCCUACGGGAGGCAGCAUG
This 280-nucleotide ribosomal RNA is filed under the name uncultured bacterium. RNAcentral describes it as "partial 16S ribosomal RNA". It matches the Rfam family "Bacterial small subunit ribosomal RNA", at positions 76 to 353 of the family's 1533-position model. The record is from RNAcentral.